Molecule: long non-coding RNA, 2550 nt
Filed under: Nicotiana tabacum (common tobacco)
Lineage: Eukaryota; Viridiplantae; Streptophyta; Magnoliopsida; Solanales; Solanaceae
Description: long non-coding RNA (NTAB_LNC006751)
Source: RNAcentral
CUAUGUGCGCUAUCGUAGCUCAAAUCGACAAUUUAUCAUAGAACUUGAAAUUACCAAGUUUUAUUCAGGGAAUUACCCUCUUCGUAACCUCAAACAUAUCUCAAAUAGUUCACAACAAUUCAACAAUUACCUAAAUAUGCACUCUCUCCCGAGUUAUGCACACUAAAUAGGCACAGCUAAUUGAGGAUCCUAUCAAUUAACUACAACAAGAACGUAGUUGAACAAAUAGAGAUUAAACCAGACAACUAUAUUAACAUAACAAGAAGUUCAUCCUUCAAUAGGUUCCAUCAAAACCUUAGACUAAAUAUUUAGCUAUUCAUACUAGGAUUCAUCACAACAACAUUCAAAUUCAUCACAAAUCGUAAAAACAAAAAGGAAGAAAGGAAGAACUCGAUGUUGAAUUAUCCUCCUUGCCUCUUGCCUCUCCUUGCCUUGAACUAAGCUAUGAAAACCUUGAUAAUCCUCUCUUGGGCGAGCUAGACCUUCUAUAGGUUAAGUGGAUUUGCCCCCGAACUUCCAAUUUUACCCCUGCAAUUUACUCUUCCGGAACUGGGCUAGCGCGGUCGCACUAAUGGACGCGCUAGUCCAGGUCUUCAUUUCAUCUCUUCUUUUUCUCGUCUUCCCACGUACUCAGCUCCUAGGGGCUUUUCUUGCUUCAAUUUAGCUCCAAUCAUAGCUUUAAGGCCUCAUAUAUGCUACUCCCUCCUACAACGUGUGAAAUUCACAAUUAGAGCCAAUUUAUCAUCAUUUAACUAUAUUAUCACAAUGAAACAUAAUCAAGCUGAGGCAUAAACAAUCGCCAAAUUACAUAAAUCUAGCCUAUUAUCAGACACAUUGUGCAUUCAAUGGGCUCCAUUUAUUCCGAAAUUAUUUUUGCAGACAUUAUUUCGACAUUCUGUUGCUGCUAACUUUCUGUUUUUGUUUUCUGUUUCAGAAAGUUUACUGUUUCAUUAUUUAUUAUAGUGAUACAAAUUUCAAUAAUAGCAAUAAAUGACAUUUAUGUAAAUAAGGAGAAUGAUUCAGCCAAUAAUGAACGAGAUAGAUGAUUAUUCUUCCUGACAAUGAUAAAUGACAGACGAAUCCAAGACAUUUAUGUAAAUAAGGAGAAUGAUUCAGCCAAUAAUGAACGAGAUAGAUGAUUAUUCUUCCUGACAAUGAUAAAUGACAGACGAAUCCUAGAAUGUCGAAACUAUUCUCGGAUCUGAUGAAAAAGUGUGGAAUAAUGUGUGUGAGAAUAUUGAUGAAAAGGUAAAGUUAGUAUCUUUGCUAGGGAGAGAGAGGGUCUUCUUUUCAAGAAGUGUUCUUGUCAAGUGAAUAUUAUGUGCCUUACACCAUUGUCUCUUUUCCUCUUUAUAUGAGACAUGUCCCUAACAAACCCUAAUAGUACAAGUGCAGAGAAUAGAAUAUUCUUUUUAACAUCCUAUUAUAAAAACUAGCCGUUAUUGUUCUAUUCUUGGUGCUCGACCUCGGUCGUUGUUGACAGCCCGACCGCGAAUCUCACUGCUUCCUGGUCGACCUCGACUGGCCCUUUCCGUAAUGCCACUUCACGCUAAAUUUCCUUAGGGCAUAUUUUGUCUUAUACAACCAUAUAUCAAAAGAAACCAAAUUCCUAAACCAUUGGAGCGUCUUGUGAAAAUAACACUAAUAUGAAUACUGAAGCUACACAUUAUCAAUCUGAAGUGUCAAAGAUGUGAAAACAAAAAAUGACAUGAGAGUGAAUUACAGUAAUAAUAAGAAUAAAGUAUAUGGGUAGAGCAAAGUCUCCUAGACAAUUUGAUUAAAUGGUCGGCGUCAAUGGCCAAUGGUUCACAUUCGGAUCAUAAAUGAUGAUAUGGAUAAAAACCAUUAAAAUGGAACAAGCAUGUCAUGAACCACUGCUAGUUCUCAGAGAUCGGAGUUGUAGAUUUUGUAGGAGGUGAAGAGCAAUGGAGGAGAGGAGCAACAUUAAAGAAUUGCAAACAUUUAGAUUUUUUUCCUUCAAAUUGAUGUUUGACUGGGGAUAACGCAAGGGCAGCUUUUGGGAACAUAACAUAAGUUUUUGAUGCCUCAAUUUCUCAACAUGAUUAAAAUUACUCACCUUCAGCAAAUUGUCCUAUGCCUUAAAAGAUCCUCAUAUCAAAUCCCUAAAAACCUUUUUUCCUCACUUUAUGGAGAACCUAGCAGCCAAUAUUUUCUGCAUUUGAAGAAUGAAUAUUAAAAAGUGAUGGAACUUCUGCAAUUGCAAGUCUUAAAGGUAAUGUUAAUAGAGGUAAACUACUAUUAAAUUACUCAAGCUUCAGCAAAUCGUCCCUUAUUUGCUACAGAAUCCUCAUCUCAAUUCUCUAAGAACCAAAUUUGCCUCGCUUGGAGAACCUAACAAGCCGUUAUUUUUUGCAUUUGAAGAAUGAGUAUUUAAUAGUUGAAGAUUUUUAACUGCACGUCUGGAAGAUAAGUAGCUUCAAGCGUUAUAAAAAUUGUGAACCACACAAUGGAUAUUCCCUCUCAAUGUUAAAUGCAAAGGUUAGAGGCAUGAUGGAUCAGGAUCAACCAGAACNUCAGAANCUGUCAUNN